AUCCAGAGAACUUAGCAGAGAUUGCUUUGGUGCCUUCGGGAACUCUGAGACAGGUGCUGCAUGGCUGUCGUCAGCUCGUGUUGUGAAAUGUUGGGUUAAGUCCCGCAACGAGCGCAACCCUUUAUCCUUUGUUGCCAGCGGUUCGGCCGGGAACUCAAAGGAGACUGCCGGUGAUAAACCGGAGGAAGGUGGGGAUGACGUCAAGUCAUCAUGGCCCUUACGGCCAGGGCUACACACGUGCUACAAUGGCGCAUACAAAGAGAAGCGACCUCGCGAGAGCAAGCGGACCUCAUAAAGUGCGUCGUAGUCCGGAUUGGAGUCUGCAACUCGACUCCAUGAAGUCGGAAUCGCUAGUAAUCGUAGAUCAGAAUGCUACGGUGAAUACGUUCCCGGGCCUUGUACACACCGCCCGUCACACCAUGGGAGUGGGUUGCAAAAGAAGUAGGUAGCUUAACCUUCGGGAGGGCGCUUACCACUUUGUGAUUCAUGACUGGGGUGAAGUCGUAACAAGGUAGGCGUAGCGAG
This 525-nucleotide ribosomal RNA is filed under the name uncultured bacterium. Its description in RNAcentral is "bacterial SSU rRNA". It matches the Rfam family "Bacterial small subunit ribosomal RNA", at positions 986 to 1509 of the family's 1533-position model. The record is from RNAcentral.